GGCUAAUUACGUGCCAGCAGCCGCGGUWAUACGUAGGUGGCAAGCGUUGUCCGGAUUUAUUGGGCGUAAAGGGAACGCAGGCGGUUUUUUAAGUYUGAUGUGAAAGCCUUCGGCUUAACCGAAGUCAUGCAUUGGAAACUGGAAGACUUGAGUGCAGAAGAGGAGAGUGGAACUCCAUGUGUAGCGGUGAAAUGCGUAGAUAUAUGGAAGAACACCAGUGGCGAAAGCGGCUCUCUGGUCUGUAACUGACGCUGAGGUUCGAAAGCAUGGGUAGCAAACAGGAUUAGAUACCCUGGUAGUCCAUGCCGUAAACGAUGAAUGCUAAGUGUUGGAGGGUUUCCGCCCUUCAGUGCUGCAGCUAACGCAUUAAGCAUUCCGC
This 379-nucleotide ribosomal RNA is filed under the name Liquorilactobacillus mali. RNAcentral describes it as "bacterial SSU rRNA". It matches the Rfam family "Bacterial small subunit ribosomal RNA", at positions 495 to 872 of the family's 1533-position model. The record is from RNAcentral. Lineage: Bacteria; Bacillati; Bacillota; Bacilli; Lactobacillales; Lactobacillaceae.